This 116-nucleotide ribosomal RNA is filed under the name Salmonella enterica. RNAcentral also lists the same sequence under 1 other name. The record is from RNAcentral. Lineage: Bacteria; Pseudomonadati; Pseudomonadota; Gammaproteobacteria; Enterobacterales; Enterobacteriaceae.
CGUGGCGGCACUAGCGCGGUGGUCCCACCUGACCCCAUGCCGAACUCAGAAGUGAAACGCCGUAGCGCCGAUGGUAGUGUGGGGUCUCCCCAUGCGAGAGUAGGGAACUGCCAGGC